UGGGGAAUAUUGCACAAUGGGCGCAAGCCUGAUGCAGCCAUGCCGCGUGUGUGAAGAAGGCCUUCGGGUUGUAAAGUACUUUCAGUCGGGAGGAAGGUGGUAAGGUUAAUAACCUUAUCAAUUGACGUUACCGACAGAAGAAGCACCGGCUAACUCCGUACCAGCAGCCGCGGUAAUACGGAGGGUGCAAGCGUUAAUCGGAAUUACUGGGCGUAAAGCGCACGCAGGCGGUUGAUUGAGUCAGAUGUGAAAUCCCCGGGCUUAACCCGGGAAUUGCAUCUGAUACUGGUCAGCUAGAGUCUUGUAGAGGGGGGUAGAAUUCCAUGUGUAGCGGUGAAAUGCGUAGAGAUGUGGAGGAAUACCGGUGGCGAAGGCGGCCCCCUGGACAAAGACUGACGCUCAGGUGCGAAAGCGUGGGGAGCAAACAGG
Molecule: ribosomal RNA, 429 nt
Filed under: Chloroflexota bacterium
Lineage: Bacteria; Bacillati; Chloroflexota
Description: Chloroflexi bacterium partial 16S ribosomal RNA
Rfam family: Bacterial small subunit ribosomal RNA
Source: RNAcentral